GAGCCAGUCCUGGACCUCGACCCUUGGCUGCCCAGCCAGCACUCAGGAGUAUAAUUCCUGCUGAUAAUCUACAACAUUGACUUGUACAUGGGAAGGCAAACAUUUGUUAGAAAUUCUUUCUGCUACCUUUGAUCGGAAUGAAAGAAAAAAAAUCAAGAGAUAUUAAAAUCAACUACAAAGGCAAAGGAACCUGUCUUUUCAGUUGAAGAAAAGAACUGCUGCCUCAUUAUGGUCUUUUUCAAUUAAAA
This 248-nucleotide long non-coding RNA is filed under the name Homo sapiens (human). Its description in RNAcentral is "HSALNT0206268". The record is from RNAcentral. Lineage: Eukaryota; Metazoa; Chordata; Mammalia; Primates; Hominidae.